This 26-nucleotide non-coding RNA is filed under the name Mus musculus (house mouse). Lineage: Eukaryota; Metazoa; Chordata; Mammalia; Rodentia; Muridae. RNAcentral also lists the same sequence under 1 other name. The record is from RNAcentral.
UGGUUAAGUUGUCAACAGUCAGUACA